GAGAUUGAGAAAAUUGUUUUUUUUUUGAAUUUAGGAAUUUUAAUUUUUAUUUUUAGAGAGAUGUUUUAGACUAUAGUUGAGAGUACUGUAAAGGAAUUUUGAAAGUAAGUGUUAAAAUUACUUAAAGUAUUUUGAUUUAAUACCUUUUGUAUAAGGGUUUAGAAAUUAAAAAAUUGUUUUUUUUAAUCCCGAAACUCAAGGAGCUAUUUUUAAUAAAAUAUUUAUUAUGUUGCAUAAUAAUAAUGAAAUUAAGAAUAGAGAUGAAAUUUUAGUCGGAUUGAGUGAUAUCUGGUUAUGAGAAUUUAACUAUAUGUUAAUAGUGAAGUUUUGGAAAUUGAAAUGCUUCAUUUUUUAAAGCUUUUGGGAUAAGCCAAUGGUUUUUUUAUAAAAGAUAGUGUAAUUAAUGGAAGGUUUAAAAUUUACUGGGGUUUGUAGUAAAACAUUAAUUUUAUGAGGUAAAUUUAAAGUGUUUGUUUAAUUUAAUUAAUUUUAAUUAAAAGUGAUGAUGCUGGAAUUAGUAAAAGUAUAUAUUUUUCUUUUUUUAUUUUAAAAUUUUUUUUUAAAAAAGUUUUUUUAGAUUUAAGAAUUCGGCAAUAAAGUUUCCGGCUGUUUAUCAAAAACAUUGUAUUUUGCAGUUAUAAAAUAUAUAACCUGCUCAAUGAAUAUUUAAAUUGCUGUGGUAUUUUGACUAUACAAAGGUAUUGAAAUAAGACUUUAAAUGGGUGCUAAGAGAAUGGUGGAACGGAGAGUUUCUUUUUUUGAAUUUAGAUAUUUGAAGUUAAUUUAUAAGUGAAAAAGCUUAUAUAAUUUUUUGGGACAAGAAGACCCUAUGAAUUUUUAAGGAAGUAAAUUUGAUAGAGAUUUAUAUUAAUUUUCUAUAAUUUGAAUUUCUUUUAGUUGGGGUGACUUUGAAAGAUUGAUUAUCUUUUUUUAUUUUAAAAAGAUCCAUUAUUAAUGAUUUUUUGAGAAAAAUACUCUAGGGAUAACAGCGUUAUAAUUUUUGAUAGUUCAUAUAGACAAAAUUGAUUGCGACCUCGAUGUUGGAUUAGGAUACCUUUAAUAAUGAAGGAGUUUUAAGAGGAAGUUUGCUCAACUUUUAAUAUCCUACAUGAUCUGAGUUCAGACCGGCGUGAGCCAGGUUGGUUUCUAUCUAAAUAGUUAGGUUUUUGUUUUAGUACGAAAGGAAUUUUCAAAAGGGUUUAACUCAUAUUCUUUUUAAAAUUUAAAUUUA
This 1231-nucleotide ribosomal RNA is filed under the name Otobius lagophilus. RNAcentral describes it as "16S ribosomal RNA". The stretch from base 811 to 1155 matches the Rfam family "Archaeal large subunit ribosomal RNA", at positions 2151 to 2715 of the family's 2987-position model. The record is from RNAcentral. Lineage: Eukaryota; Metazoa; Arthropoda; Arachnida; Ixodida; Argasidae.